UGUAAAACAAUAGACAACUUUCGAGUUCGAUGCAUUUCCGUCAAAAACUCUGGUUUUAGUGAACGUCAUUUGUGCGUUUAGGGGCGUCGUCACUUCCGUUUUAAUGUUGAGCGAGUGGUUGGAAAACUAUAAUUCUAUAUUGUACGAAUUAUUCAGCCAAAUUAAAUUCUCAAAAUUGACAAUCAGCACUGCUGUCAUUAGGGAAUUGUCAUUAAGUACCUACAGAACAACCAUUAUUUCUAGUUUAUCCUGCACAACGACGAUCACUUAGACGCUUGAUGAACGUAAAUAGUGCUGGGAUACAGGCGAUCCCCUCUAUCUUGUAAAUGACGUCAUAAAGGCGCGCAUAAUUGACGAGUUUUUGCCGGUGACGGAUGAACUCGAAAGUGGUCUAUUGAAACGAGAAAACUAAC
RNAcentral lists this long non-coding RNA (413 nucleotides) under Mytilus galloprovincialis (Mediterranean mussel). The record is from RNAcentral. Lineage: Eukaryota; Metazoa; Mollusca; Bivalvia; Mytilida; Mytilidae.